UGGGGAGUCUUGCACAAUGGAGGAAACUCUGAUGCAGCGAUGCCGCGUGAGUGAAGAAGGCCUUUGGGUUGUAAAGCUCUUUUGUAGGGGAAGAUAAUGACUGUACCCUAAGAAUAAGGUCCGGCUAACUUCGUG
Molecule: ribosomal RNA, 135 nt
Filed under: uncultured bacterium
Lineage: Bacteria
Description: partial 16S ribosomal RNA
Rfam family: Bacterial small subunit ribosomal RNA
Source: RNAcentral